GCCAACCUGCUGUAGUGGUCUGAGUGUUAGACUAUGACUCUGGAGACCAGGGUUCAAAUCCCUGCUCAGCCA
Phrynosoma platyrhinos (Desert horned lizard) is the source of this 72-nucleotide non-coding RNA. NCBI's taxonomy places the organism in Eukaryota, Metazoa, Chordata, Lepidosauria, Squamata, Phrynosomatidae. The record is from the annotation of a GenBank genome assembly.